UACUUGACUCUAAAAGUUGUUUCUUCAUGGUUCUCAUCCCAUAUGGUCACUUUCUGGUGCUUUGUUCAAAGGCCCUAUGGCAGUGACAGUAUUCCUCAUUG
Molecule: long non-coding RNA, 101 nt
Organism: Sphaeramia orbicularis (orbiculate cardinalfish)
Lineage: Eukaryota; Metazoa; Chordata; Actinopteri; Kurtiformes; Apogonidae
Exons: 3
Source: RefSeq, a predicted model, not a curated record